CUCAUGAGACAAUCCCUCCUUAGAAGCCUCUUUUCAAUAGUGCCCUUCUUAGGAAAGUAGUAACUUGGAUUAAAAUCUAGCAUUCCUAAGGUCUUUGGGGGCCGGGGAUGCUUACUUCCUUUGCCUUCCUUUGACUGUCUACACGC
This 146-nucleotide small nucleolar RNA is filed under the name Carlito syrichta (Philippine tarsier). Its description in RNAcentral is "Small nucleolar RNA SNORA67 (ENSTSYG00000021109.2)". The stretch from base 16 to 146 matches the Rfam family "Small nucleolar RNA SNORA67". From Rfam's summary of the family: U67 belongs to the H/ACA class of snoRNAs which are thought to guide the sites of modification of uridines to pseudouridines. The record is from RNAcentral. Lineage: Eukaryota; Metazoa; Chordata; Mammalia; Primates; Tarsiidae.